This 468-nucleotide ribosomal RNA is filed under the name uncultured bacterium. Its description in RNAcentral is "partial 16S ribosomal RNA". It matches the Rfam family "Bacterial small subunit ribosomal RNA", at positions 28 to 507 of the family's 1533-position model. The record is from RNAcentral.
GACGAACGCUGGCGGCGUGCUUAACACAUGCCAGUCGAACGGUGAAGCUCCAGCUUGCUGGAGUGGAUCAGUGGCGAACGGGUGAGUAACACGUGAGCAACCUGCCCCUGACUCUGGAAUAAGCGCUGGAAACGGCGUCUAAUACUGGAUACGAGAAGGGUCCGCAUGGGCACUUUCUGGAAAGUUCUUCGGUUGGGGAUGGGCUCGCGGCCUAUCAGCUUGUUGGUGAGGUAAUGGCUCACCAAGGCGACGACGGGUAGCCGGCCUGAGAGGGCGACCGGCCACACUGGGACUGAGACACGGCCCAGACUCCUACGGGAGGCAGCAGUGGGGAAUAUUGCACAAUGGGCGAAAGCCUGAUGCAGCGACGCCGCGUGAGGGAUGACGGCCUUCGGGUUGUAAACCUCUUUCAGCAGGGAAGAAGCGAAAGUGACGGUACCUGCAGAAGAAGCACCGGCUAACUACGUG